Molecule: small RNA, 1865 nt
Filed under: Arabidopsis thaliana (thale cress)
Lineage: Eukaryota; Viridiplantae; Streptophyta; Magnoliopsida; Brassicales; Brassicaceae
Description: ATSL201540
Source: RNAcentral
UAGGUUAUGUACUUUGUCUUAAGCAUGAGAUGAUGUGUCAUUCGUUUGUGUAACAGUUAGUUCUCUAACGGUUUUCAAACUCAGAAUAUAGAUUAGGUGUUCAAAUCUAUUUUUUAAGAAAACUCUCCGACUUAGCCUUCCUGAUCAGCACCUGCUAGACUUUAACCUCCGCUCUGAUACCAUUUGUCACACCCGUCUCCUUCAACGUUGAGACGGCGUGCUUUCUCCUUACUUAUAUCUUUCCUCUAUUCCACUUUCUUAAUUCAAAUAACAAAUUGUCUUAAAAAUAAUCUUAAAUCAUUGAAAACUCUUUAAUAAAUCGUAUAAGAAAAUAACAAUAGUAGAAAAUAAACCCGAGGUUCCCAAAAUACACUGUAAGCGAGACGGACUUGCGCGACUACACACGAUUUUCACUGUGACCUGGGGAAAAAGGGGAAAAAGGGGGUGAGUAAAGAAUUACUCAUUGAGAGGAUCCUUUCCGCCCACUGAAAAUACGAUACACGAUUCUACCUUUAAACUAUAAUCAACAAUCACAUAGAAACAGACACAACACUCAUAUAGUUUGCAUCACUAUGCAAGACUAUAUCACACAUCUCAUUCUUGCUUAAGCAAGAUCUCCUCAUCAAUACCAGGUUUGAUCAUUUCUUUGACCUUUGAACCUAUCUAGUUCCACUGGACUCGUAAGUCUUUUAUUGAGCUACAAAGAACCCGUCAAUUCAAUGUAGACCAUUUUCCACUGUUCCAAUAUUCCAUUUUUCCACUGUUCCACUUUUCGUAAUCUCAAAAGAUGGUGAUUCCACUUUCUCAUAUAACACAUAUAAUUACUUGUUAUUGAUAUGGUUCAAAUUACCUAGAACAACUCUCUCAAAUAAGAGAUCAAUUGCAGUAUUUUAGGAUUGAAUUCACGGAGUUCUUUUGUUUAAACAAUGAGUUAAAUAUCGAGAUUAAGCUAGCAGGGUAGUAGUGAAAAUAAAAGAGAACAAAGUAAAAAGCUAGCAGAUUGAUUGUGUUGUAAACAAUUUAUUAAAGAGCUAGGAACAGGGUAUUCUCAGGAAACUAUUGGUUAGUAGAUCUAAUGAAAGCUAGGUUGUUAUCGAACCAAUCUUAAACUCAAACUCUAAUUAUGGAAUAACCGGUGGGCGUGCCGCGAAACUCCCUAUAUCUAUAGCUAAUAAUAACUGGAGAAGCCGAGAAACUAUCAACCUAAAUAUGCAUUUUUAACGAGUUCAAUUGUUCAUCUUAGUAAAUAGGCCGAUUCUUAUUACACACCUAUAAACCAGACUCAUCAAAUAAUAAAUAUAACUACAGAUACCUAUGGCGGGCAUAUUUAUUGUCUGGAUUCAAGAUCUAGUUAAUUACUCUAGAUCUAGCAUUAAGCAUAAUUAAAGAUGAAGAAUUCUACAACCUAGCAAAGGGGGCAAUCUACCAAACCAUAUGAAUCCCUAAUGAGAAACCCUAUUCCUAACAAGCAGACUACUCAAACAUAUUGAAUGAAGCAAACAACAUAAUUGAGAUAGAAAGCAUAAACACAGUAAAUAGAGAAGGGGAAAGAAGGGAUCUCUUCACUGUAUUAAAAACUGGAAUGAAUCUCUCAAGAACAAUGGAUGAAUAGCUUAUGUCUCUCAUAAUAGGGUUUUGCAAAAGCUUGAUAAAAGAUUUGAUAAACGAAACUUAGGUCUAAAAAAAAUAUAUAUAGAUCCUAAAAACGUCCAGGGAUUAAUAAUGCAAAUAGGGAAGUCUUCUGUGGCAAACUUGAGCUUCUGUAAACUCAAAAGCGUCUAGGGCUUUUGCUGGGCCGAAACUGGUGUCGAUUGACACCAAGAGAGUGUCGAUCGACACUCCUCGCUGAUUCAUUAACCAAAAUU